GGGGGUAUAGCUCAGUUGGCUAGAGCGCUUGCAUGGCAUGCAAGAGGUCAUGGGUUCAAGUCCCUUUACCUCCACCA
This 77-nucleotide transfer RNA is filed under the name Alphaproteobacteria bacterium. RNAcentral describes it as "tRNA-Ala". It matches the Rfam family "tRNA". Rfam says of the family: Transfer RNA (tRNA) molecules are approximately 80 nucleotides in length. Their secondary structure includes four short double-helical elements and three loops (D, anti-codon, and T loops). Further hydrogen bonds mediate the characteristic L-shaped molecular structure. tRNAs have two regions of fundamental functional importance: the anti-codon, which is responsible for specific mRNA codon recognition, and the 3' end, to which the tRNAs corresponding amino acid is attached (by aminoacyl-tRNA synthetases). tRNAs cope with the degeneracy of the genetic code in two manners: having more than one tRNA (with a specific anti-codon) for a particular amino acid; and 'wobble' base-pairing, i.e. permitting non-standard base-pairing at the 3rd anti-codon position. Lineage: Bacteria; Pseudomonadati; Pseudomonadota; Alphaproteobacteria. The record is from RNAcentral.